This 263-nucleotide ribosomal RNA is filed under the name uncultured Staphylococcus sp. RNAcentral's name for it is "partial 16S ribosomal RNA". It matches the Rfam family "Bacterial small subunit ribosomal RNA", at positions 99 to 355 of the family's 1533-position model. Lineage: Bacteria; Bacillati; Bacillota; Bacilli; Caryophanales; Staphylococcaceae. The record is from RNAcentral.
CGGACGGGUGAGUAACACGUGGAUAACCUACCUAUAAGACUGGGAUAACUUAGGGAAACCGGAGCUAAUACCGGAUAAUAUAUUGAACCGCAUGGUUCAAUAGUGAAAGACGGUUUUGCUGUCACUUAUAGAUGGAUCCGCGCCGCAUUAGCUAGUUGGUAAGGUAACGGCUUACCAAGGCAACGAUGCGUAGCCGACCUGAGAGGGUGAUCGGCCACACUGGAACUGAGACACGGUCCAGACUCCUACGGGAGGCAGCAGCU